This 552-nucleotide ribosomal RNA is filed under the name uncultured crenarchaeote. RNAcentral describes it as "bacterial SSU rRNA". It matches the Rfam family "Archaeal small subunit ribosomal RNA", at positions 325 to 879 of the family's 1478-position model. The record is from RNAcentral. Lineage: Archaea; Thermoproteati; Thermoproteota.
ACGGGGUGCAGCAGGCGCGAAAACUCCACAAUGUACGCCAGUACGAUGGGGUUAUCUCGAGUGCAGUCCGAUAAGGGCUGCUUUUCCAUAGAGUAAUAUCCUGUGGGAAUAAGAGGGGGGCAAGACUGGUGUCAGCCGCCGCGGUAACACCAGCCCCUCGAGUGGUGGGGACUAUUAUUUGGCCUAAAGCAUCCGUAGCUGGCUGAGUUAGUCCUUUGUUAAAUCCACCGAAUUAAUCGUUGGAUUGCGGGGGAUACUGCUUGGCUAGGGGACGAGAGAGGCAGACGGUAUUUUCGGGGUAGGGGUGAAAUCCUAUAAUCCCGGGAAGACCACCAGCGGCGAAGGCUGUCUGCUAGAACGCGCCCGACGGUGAGGGAUGAAAGCUGGGGGAGCGAACCGGACUAGAUACCCGGGUAGUCCCAGCUGUAAACGAUGCAGGCUAGGUGUUUGGACGGCCACGUGCCGUUCUAGUGCCGCAGGGAAGCUGUUAAGCCUGCCGCCUGGGGAGUACGAUCGCAAGAUUGAAACUUAAAGGAAUUGGCGGGGGAGCAC